UACGAAGGGGGCUAGCGUUGCUCGGAAUCACUGGGCGUAAAGCGCACGUAGGCGGAUUGUUAAGUCAGGGGUGAAAUCCUGGAGCUCAACUCCAGAACUGCCUUUGAUACUGGCAAUCUUGAGUCCGGAAGAGGUGAGUGGAACUCCUAGUGUAGAGGUGGAAUUCGUAGAUAUUAGGAAGAACACCGGUGGCGAAGGCGGCCCACUGGUCCGGUACUGACGCUGAGGUGCGAAAGCGUGGGGAGCAAACAGG
Molecule: ribosomal RNA, 253 nt
Filed under: uncultured bacterium
Lineage: Bacteria
Description: partial 16S ribosomal RNA
Rfam family: Bacterial small subunit ribosomal RNA
Source: RNAcentral